UUUAUAAAGAAAUUAUGCACAGAAGUUGACUCGCUGCCAUUUUGUAAUUUAGUAGUUCCAACUUUUCUAAUUUUAUUUCAUAUCUUCAUUUUGCGCAACGCUAACUAUAUUCGCCGAUAGAGAAUUUCAUUGGAUUCCAACUUUAGCUUCAUCUUCAUACUCUGAGUUUUUCAUUCCCACCCGGGCAGCCCAUUCAUUUAUUCAACGCGACGUUUAGGAUCAGCGUCAGCUAGAAUUCGAGACUGGACGUUGUAUUUGCCUUUGUACUGGAUUCCCUGCUUGCUGCAGUCUAUCAUCAACGCUUUGUGUUUAAAUGAGUCGCGGAAUGUCGCAGGAAUUAUGUCAAGCUGGCGGAUGUAACCACCCACCCAAAGUAGAGGGGAGAGACUCUUAUAACUAUUUGCAAGGAAAGUUGUUAGAAAGAAUCAAGUGAAGUGAAGUUUAGCGCGUAAGUUUAUGACAGGGAUGAGCUCAUGUGGGAUAUCGUGACCUGCGGGACGAAUCUGGGACUUUCGAAGCAGCGGCGGUGCUAGCAAAAAGUUUGACGGCGCGAAUAUGAAGCGACCAACUCAAGCGAGGAGGCAAAAGCAAAAGCUUUGCGUACAAGAUUUUCAUUAUAAAUUAAAAAUGUAUGAGAAUGGACUAUUAAGAGUCAAGUCAACUUAAGACACAAUUAAUUUUGUGCACAAAGUAAUAGAUAUGCACUUCGAAAGCUAAAUAAGGAUAUUCACCAUAAGGAUUUCAGCUGGAAAGAACGGAGGGUAGCAAUGACAAGAUCGUAGAAGUUUGCUGAAACAGGAUUCGAUGAUAUCAGCUGACAGAAAAUGAUGAUCACACAAGAUUCGGGUUCAUGUAAGCAGAACAGAGUCAGAUUUAUAUGCGCCUUAAGAUGGUCAACUCAAUUUGUUAAGACGGUUAAUGUCAAUCCCAGCCACUUUGAUAGGUUCUUCAAAGUUGUGUCUACCGAGCUCUUUCAAAUUCAGUCUGACAGCAGCCGGGCCAUUGAGGAGAAGGUGACAAGACAAUUCUAUCUCGCCUUCCUCCAAACAGCUUUGAUAAAGAAUAUCUGUGUGUAGCUGAACAGUAGCUAGCCAUGUCACUUAUAACGUUACCUAACACUGCGACGAGGUUGCCUUUCCUAACGAUAGUGCGAAGAACUACUUUCGGUUCACUUUAGGCCAGAAGAAUCUCGCAGUCGAAAAUACUGGUUAUUGGCCAGCUCUUGCCGAGCUCAUCAGCGGUCCAUAGAUCCGGCACUUGAACGUAAGAGGACAUCGAAAAACCGCCUGGAGAAGGUUCCGCCAUGUACCAAGUAUAUUUAACUACGACAUCAAGUCAAGACAUUUCUUUGCUUUCUGUUGUCAUUUGCCAUACUCGAAGAACCGCCUGAGGAUUGGCCCCAAAGGCUAAAAGAUGACUGCCAUCCCAAAUGGUAUAGUUGGUUCUCGCUAAUUCUCAACGCUGUCGGUGUUGUGGUAUAUUCUUAUAUGUACUUUGGCAUACUAAACACACACAAAUUUAAUCUCUUGGUGGGUCUCAUUGGAGUGACGGCUUAUCUUAUAGUUUCCGUACCAGCUCACAUCGCCUUGUGGAUAUUACAUACAAGGCCACAUACGAUGAUGACCUUAAAUUGCAUGGGAACUGCGGUGUCCGUCAUUUGCAGCCCUUUAUCCUACAUUCACUAUCGAAGAAUACUCAACGACGAGCGCAUUCAAGAAAUGGAGGAAAGCGAAUAUGCAGAAAGUAAAAAGAAAUGAUUAAUGUGUUGAAUAAUGGUUCAAAUAUAGAAAUAAAUAUACAGAUUUAAAUUGAUGGAA
Molecule: unclassified non-coding RNA, 1817 nt
Filed under: Bactrocera tryoni
Lineage: Eukaryota; Metazoa; Arthropoda; Insecta; Diptera; Tephritidae
Description: uncharacterized LOC120771820, transcript variant X3
Source: RNAcentral